Bubalus bubalis (water buffalo) is the source of this 405-nucleotide long non-coding RNA. RefSeq lists it as uncharacterized. The transcript is spliced from 3 exons. The record is from RefSeq and is a predicted model, not a curated record. Lineage: Eukaryota; Metazoa; Chordata; Mammalia; Artiodactyla; Bovidae.
GGGUGCCCUGGAGGAGGAAAUGGCAACCCACUUCAGUAUUCUUGCCUGGGAAAUUCCAUAGACAGAGGAGCCUGGUGAGCUACAGUCUAUGGGGUCACAAACGGUAGAACAAGGCUGAUCAUGCAUACACACACACACACACACACACACACACAUUCAUCCAGGUAUGGCCAGGAUUAAAUGUUAAUCUGCAUAAAAUGGUUUUGAACAAGAAACCUAACACAUGGAAGAUCACAAUGUCAAAAGCUGAAGAAGGAUGGGGGCGUCCGUGCCUCAGGAGGCAUUCUUUGAGUCUUUGCAAAGGACAGUGACUUUCAAGCCUGCGGGAAGGAAGUGAGUGAGCACAAGACUGUAGCCCAAGCUCCUCUGUCCUUGGGAUUCUACAAGCAAGAAUACUGGAGGGGG